UACGUAGGGGGCAAGCGUUGUCCGGAAUCAUUGGGCGUAAAGAGCGUGUAGGCGGCCCGGUAAGUCCGCUGUGAAAGUCGAGGGCUCAACCCUCGAAUGCCGGCGGAUACUGUCGGGCUAGAGUCCGGAAGAGGCGAGUGGAAUUCCUGGUGUAGCGGUGAAAUGCGCAGAUAUCAGGAGGAACACCAAUGGCGAAGGCAGCUCGCUGGGACGGUACUGACGCUGAGACGCGAAAGCGUGGGGAGCAAACAGG
This 253-nucleotide ribosomal RNA is filed under the name uncultured bacterium. Its description in RNAcentral is "partial 16S ribosomal RNA". It matches the Rfam family "Bacterial small subunit ribosomal RNA", at positions 524 to 776 of the family's 1533-position model. The record is from RNAcentral.